This 468-nucleotide ribosomal RNA is filed under the name uncultured bacterium. RNAcentral's name for it is "partial 16S ribosomal RNA". It matches the Rfam family "Bacterial small subunit ribosomal RNA", at positions 28 to 507 of the family's 1533-position model. The record is from RNAcentral.
GACGAACGCUGGCGGCGUGCUUAACACAUGCAAGUCGAACGGAAAGGCCCUGCUUUUGUGGGGUGCUCGAGUGGCGAACGGGUGAGUAGCACGUGAGUAACCUGCCCUUGACUUUGGGAUAACUUCAGGAAACUGGGGCUAAUACCGGAUAGGAGCUCCUGCUGCAUGGUGGGGGUUGGAAAGUUUCGGCGGUUGGGGAUGGACUCGCGGCUUAUUAGCUUGUUGGUGGGGUAGUGGCUUACCAAGGCUUUGACGGGUAGCCGGCCUGAGAGGGUGACCGGCCACAUUGGGACUGAGAUACGGCCCAGACUCCUACGGGAGGCAGCAGUGGGGAAUAUUGCACAAUGGGCGGAAGCCUGAUGCAGCAACGCCGCGUGCGGGAUGACGGCCUUCGGGUUGUAAACCGCUUUCGCCUGUGACGAAGCGUGAGUGACGGUAAUGGGUAAAGAAGCACCGGCUAACUACGUG